This 254-nucleotide ribosomal RNA is filed under the name uncultured bacterium. RNAcentral describes it as "partial 16S ribosomal RNA". It matches the Rfam family "Bacterial small subunit ribosomal RNA", at positions 102 to 353 of the family's 1533-position model. The record is from RNAcentral.
ACGGGUGAGUAACGCGUGAGCAAUCUGCCUUUAGGAGGGGGAUAACAGUCGGAAACGGCUGCUAAUACCGCAUAAUACGUUUGGGAGGCAUCUCUUGAACGUCAAAGAUUUUAUCGCCUUUAGAUGAGCUCGCGUCUGAUUAGCUGGUUGGCGGGGUAACGGCCCACCAAGGCGACGAUCAGUAGCCGGACUGAGAGGUUGAACGGCCACAUUGGGACUGAGACACGGCCCAGACUCCUACGGGAGGCAGCAUG